CAGCAGCCACGGUAAUACGAAGGGUGCAAGCGUUAAUCGGAAUUACUGGGCGUAAAGCGUGCGUAGGCGGUUUGUUAAAUCUGCUGUGAAAUCCCCGGGCUCAACCUGGGAAUGGCAGUGGAUACUGGCUCGCUAGAGUGUGUCAGAGGAUGGUGGAAUUCCCGGUGUAGCGGUGAAAUGCGUAGAGAUCGGGAGGAACAUCAGUGGCGAAGGCGGCCAUCCGGGACAACACUGACGCUGAGGCACGAAAGCGUGGGGAGCAAACAGGAUUAGAUACCCGCGUAGUCCCUGUCUCUUAUAC
RNAcentral lists this ribosomal RNA (301 nucleotides) under uncultured bacterium. RNAcentral's name for it is "partial 16S ribosomal RNA". It matches the Rfam family "Bacterial small subunit ribosomal RNA", at positions 509 to 807 of the family's 1533-position model. The record is from RNAcentral.